This is a long non-coding RNA of Vicia villosa (hairy vetch), 871 nucleotides long. RefSeq lists it as uncharacterized. The record is from RefSeq and is a predicted model, not a curated record. The transcript is spliced from 3 exons. NCBI's taxonomy places the organism in Eukaryota, Viridiplantae, Streptophyta, Magnoliopsida, Fabales, Fabaceae.
AAGAUAGAUGUUCUUGAAAUACCAUUUAUACCCUUUUUCUAAAUUCUCUUCAAUUAGGCUGUCCACGUGGACAUCCUCUUUAUCCAAUUUUUUCCUUUCACUGACUCUACACUCAGAUAACCUUUUUAUUUUUUUCCUUUCCCUUACUCAACAUUUUGCUUGUCUUUUCAGUUUUCUUUCCUGUUGCUUUUCUCAAUACUAUUUGUUACUUUUUUUUUCCAUCCUAUCCUAUCAAGUCUGCAGCACAUUGAACCUAUCAGCUUUGCUUGCAACUAUGGAUUUGGUUGAAUCGAUACAAACCACUUCUCUCUUAAAUAUUUUUCCUAAAACUAUACCAACAUUCAACUCUUUCAAAAUCUCUCUCAUUUCUUUAAACCUGGUUAAUAUUUUUUGUGUGUUGAAUUUGUUAUAACUUUAUUGAUUAAAGCUACUAUUUUUUCUCUUCUAUUUUCUUCUUCAGAUCUGUAGAAGACUGUAGAUGAGAUUUUGGAUUUGGAGCUAAUAGUAUAUCAAAGGUAUCUUAUCUUCAAGUUCUGAUGAUUUUAUGUUUUAUUUUUAUUUUCAGAGCUGUAAAAAUAUUAUGGACGGAACUUUGUAAUCCGGAGAAGUUUGAUGAAUGAGCCUUUAUGAAAUUAGAUCUAUAAAAGUUUGUGGAUGAGAUUUUGAAUCUAGAUCCAAUAACAAAUCAGAGAUAUCUAUGUUCAAGAAUGAUCAAAGGGAAUAUGAACUGAUCUAACAAUAAGAGGAUGCAGGUAUAUGUAUCUCUUUCCUUUUUAUUUAUUUUGUUUUACAUCAAUUUUGUAUCUACAAGGAGAAUAAAUUAAUUUUUCAUGAUUUUUUUUUAAAGGAACAACAGAUAAAUGCAGGUACC